RNAcentral lists this long non-coding RNA (2696 nucleotides) under Sinocyclocheilus anshuiensis. Its description in RNAcentral is "lncRNA (ENSSANG00000014634.1)". The record is from RNAcentral. Lineage: Eukaryota; Metazoa; Chordata; Actinopteri; Cypriniformes; Cyprinidae.
AGCCACUCAAACACAUGAAUCAAAUUCAUAGAGGUCAUUUAAGACAUAUUCAACAAAUACAGUGGAUACCAAAAAAAUAUUACUUUUUUUCAUUCAGCUUUAUUUUUCAUUCAGCUAUAAUUUCUUGUAGUCUACUGUUUUAAUGUGAGCACACAGACUUGUUUAUCCACUCUUGGGCGUGGAUGAGCAGGUAUCUGUGUCACCUGAGGGCGGAUCCAAAGUAUAAAUACAAGCACGAGAACAGCAUUUCCACACGGAGAGCAAGACGAGACAAGAGGUAAGACAUUCCUCAUUUAUUAGCUCCGACAGAUACCUGUCAAAUGCAUGAUUCAUGUGACCGUUUGAUGAAAAAUUACAGAUUGAAAAAGUUACUCUUUAGAAAAUGUAUUUGCAAGGAUUUUAUCUUAUGAAAUAUUAAAAUAAAUAUAAUUUGAACAUGCAUGCAGAAGAAAUCUUGCUUACGGGUCUUUUUCGUUGCUUAGUGUUUACAGACGUGUUACAUAUCUGAAAAUUUCAACAUGAGUGAUCGACGUAAGUAAUAUUUUAUAUAAAUAUACUGACAUUUUUCUGUUUGUGGCAUUUUAUUAAAAGUUUAAGAAAUUUUUACAGCUAUACACUUUCACAACUAUUUUACUUAAAUGCCAUUAGAGAACAACUCUUAAUGCUCGUUUUUGUUUUCCAAAUGUCUUCUGCAGCACAACAGCAGGGUUGCAGAGAUUCUGGCUCCGAGAGCUCAGGAGAUGAAUGUGGACAGAAGCACGGAAAGGGCCAAGGCAAAGGCAAAGGGAAAGGUCAGCAAGGUCAGCAAGGACAGCAAUGUCAGCAAGGUCAGCAAGGACAGCAAUGUCAGCAAGGACAGCAAGGACAGCAAGGACAAGGUCACGGACAUGGUCACGGUCAUGGAGGUGAUCAUGGGAAAAAGGGGCAUGGAUGUGAGCAGCAAAAAGGAAAAAAGUUUUAAGGUCAUGACCUGAGACCAUGGUGGUCCAUGCAUGUCCUCAUGCUUUACAUAUCAAAACUGGGUUUCAGCUCCAUAUUGCAUUCAAAUAAUGAAAAUAAACCGAUUUAUUAAAACCUUAAAUGAUGUGUGUCUGUCUUGAAUGGUUGAGUUUGAGUGUUUUAAUGGAUAUCACUUAGUUCUUGACUUAAAAUGAUCUCUAGACACAUAUGGGGAACUCAGCCAAUGGUACAAAACCCAAAUAUCGACAUUCAUAGUGAAACUGUGCUGUGCAAGAAACCAAAUGCCUGAGAUGCUGCAUUAGCCACCACUGCCAACACAUGUUAAAAGGUUGUCAACUGGGAUUCCAAACAUCAAAUUCUAAACGAUAUUACGAUUGAAUGUGAAACCAAUUUUUAGGAAUAACGGAUCCGCUGCCACUGCACAAAAACAAAUUACAUCAGGUUCUGCAAGCUUGGCACCCUAAAUAUUAAACUGAACUUAAGAUGCAUGCCAUCUUUCUAUAUUAAAUGUGCAAGACCUACAAAUAACCCAACUGAAGGUGGAGAACUCCAAAAGUGGGAAAUGUGCCAAAGUUGAUGCUUACAGGUUUAAAACUGGGAGUGCACUUCAUUUAGCAUUCCUAUUCAACUCAAAAUCAUGCAUGUACCAGCGGUCCCCGCCCUGGUCAAGGGGAGAAAAAAAAGAAAAGCAUAUUGGGAAACACACUUAACACAAUGACCUUAAAUUCUGUUGGAAUGUGCUAGUGGCACAAAAUUUCACCACCCAACUAUUAAAAGUCCAAUAACUCAAGAGUGCAUUGGUACCCACCCACUUUUCCCAGUGGAGUUAGGCCUAGACUACUCAUUUAAAGUUGAAAAAUCUUAAGUUUAUUGCAGAAUAUGCAAACAAGUAUUUGCAAUGUGUCAAAGUGUUCCCUGUAGAGUUUUUGGCACAGCUCAGAUUGGUGAAAUUUACACCAUCAUGGGUAGUGUAGUUAUCCACAAGGAACUCCACUUUGAAACAAUUCUUUAAAAAAACAGAGUUUGUAGGAGGUCUAACUUUAGGGUUACGUUAGACCCCCAUUACAUUUUUCCCCUUCCAGACCCUGAAAGGCUACUGUACAAAUAUCAAUUUCCCAGCAUGUUUUCAGGUCAAAACUGGUUGAUAAUCUACACAAGAAAAAACAAACCAGAAACAAGGGUAGGUUUCUCAAAUUUAUUGAAAACCAGGUAAAGUCUUCCAUCGCUCUCGAACCGUUAUGGGACCAAGUGAAGCCUUGCCUUCCCACUGAACACCUAGAAGGGAAAGAGAAGAAAAAAAAAGAAAAAAAAAAAAAAGAGACCCACGUUAAAGGGUUAGUUCACCCAAAAAUGAAAAUUAGCCCAUGUUUUACUCACCCUCAAGGCAUCCUAGGUGUAUAUGACUUUCUUCUUUCAGACAAAUCCAAUCGGAGUUAUAUUAAAAAUUGUCCUUUCUCUUCCAAGUUUUAUAAUGGUAUGGGCGGGUGUUUUUGUUCAACGGUCCAAAAGAAGACAAAGCGCAUCCAUCCAUAUUAAAACAUUCCUCACACGCCUCCGGGGGAGUGAACAAAGGCCUCCUGUAGUGAAUUGAUGCAUGGUGUGAACAAAGGCCUCCUGUAGUGAAUCGAUGCGUUUAAAAAAAAAAAAAAAAAAAAGCAUAUUUAAAAUGAUAUACAGUUUUUUGUAACUUCCGCUGUAAACGGUCCAUAAUGUACUUAAAGUGCUCUAUUUCGCAC